CAAUAGCGUAUAUUAAAGUUGUUGCGGUUAAAAAGCUCGUAGUUGGAUUUCUGUCGAGGACAGCCGGUCCACACUUUGUGUGAGUAUCUGGUUUGGCCUUGGCAUCCUCUUGAAAAACAGCUCUGCGCUUGAUUGCGUGGACUGGAGUUCAAGACUUUUACUUUGAGGAAAUUAGAGUGUUCACGGCAGGCAAACGCCUUGAAUAUAUUAGCAUGGAAUAAUAAUAUAGGACCUUUGUUCUAUUUUGUUGGUUUCUAGAGCGAAGGUAAUGAUUAAUAGGGAUAAUUGGGGGCAUUCGUAUUAACGCGUCAGAGGUGGAAUUCUUGGAUUGUCGUUACGACGAACUACUGACGAAAGCUAUUUGCCGAAGGAUUGUUUUCUAUUGAUCAAGAAACGAAAGGUUAGGGGAUCGAAGACGAUUAGA
Molecule: ribosomal RNA, 424 nt
Filed under: uncultured eukaryote
Lineage: Eukaryota
Description: bacterial SSU rRNA
Rfam family: Eukaryotic small subunit ribosomal RNA
Source: RNAcentral